Molecule: transfer RNA, 65 nt
Filed under: Enterogyrus malmbergi
Lineage: Eukaryota; Metazoa; Platyhelminthes; Monogenea; Dactylogyridea; Ancyrocephalidae
Description: tRNA-Phe
Source: RNAcentral
UUUUUUUUAGCUUAAGGUUAAGAGCGUUAGUUUGAAGGUCUAAAGGUACUUUAGGGUAAAAAGAU